RNAcentral lists this long non-coding RNA (282 nucleotides) under Gallus gallus (chicken). The record is from RNAcentral. Lineage: Eukaryota; Metazoa; Chordata; Aves; Galliformes; Phasianidae.
CGUUUCUGCUUUGCUUUGAUCUUCUUUAGCUGUUGCUCCUUGUUGUAUUUUUGCCGUUUUACAGAAUCUAGUUUUCUGUUGAUAUCUUUGUUGUUGGUAGCCUGAGGUGAAAGUUGCUCAAUAAUUUUAUCUAUUUGUUUCAGAGAUGUUGUACAUGAUCUUAAGUCAUCCAACACUGACUGAUAUUCUUUUUCAGCAUCAGCUAUUUUUGUUGCUCUGUUAGCUUCAUUAAUUGCAUUAUCUACUUGCUGGAUAACUCCUUGCUCCAAUACCUCCUGGUCA